This 253-nucleotide ribosomal RNA is filed under the name uncultured bacterium. Its description in RNAcentral is "partial 16S ribosomal RNA". It matches the Rfam family "Bacterial small subunit ribosomal RNA", at positions 524 to 776 of the family's 1533-position model. The record is from RNAcentral.
UACGUAGGGGGCUAGCGUUGUCCGGAAUCAUUGGGCGUAAAGAGCGUGUAGGCGGCUUUACAGGUCCGUUGUGAAAACUCGAGGCUCAACCUCGAGACGCCGGUGGAAACCGUAAAGCUAGAGUCCGGAAGAGGAGAGUGGAAUUCCUGGUGUAGCGGUGAAAUGCGCAGAUAUCAGGAAGAACACCCGUGGCGAAGGCGGCUCUCUGGGACGGUACUGACGCUGAGACGCGAAAGCGUGGGGAGCGAACAGG